RNAcentral lists this long non-coding RNA (432 nucleotides) under Helianthus annuus (common sunflower). Its description in RNAcentral is "sRNA HanXRQr2_Chr17g0818341". Lineage: Eukaryota; Viridiplantae; Streptophyta; Magnoliopsida; Asterales; Asteraceae. The record is from RNAcentral.
UUUCUCUUCUUCUUUACUCUAUACGUUGGUGUUAUAACCAAUAAUCACCAAAGCGAUGUUCUGUCCGAUUGAUUCAGGAACCAACGAACAAAUACCAAAGUGUUGUACUUUGUGAAUUUCGGUAAAGGGAAUCCAAAGUACUAUACUUUGUGAAUUUCGGUAAACGGAAUCCAAAGUGUUAUACUUUGUGAAAUUCGUUAAGGUUCGAAUCUCGUGAUCAUUGUUAGGUUUGAUUUGGGUUUUACACAAAUACGUAUUCCAUUCUGUUAAACUAUAUGUUUAACCAUCAGAAUACUCCCAACUAUACGCUUACAAUCAAAAUGGAUGCUUAAUCAUCAGAAGAUCCAAAAUAAUAAAGUAUAUGCUUAAUUAUCAGAAGGAGUAGAAUCAAGAAGCUUGUUAAAUCAAUACUGCAUGCUUAUACUGGAUUAA